UGGAAUUUCGCUAACUCCUCCGAAGGCUUUCGUUCCACCGGCACCACAUUUGCUCAGGCCAAUCUACACCCCAUGGCCAUUAAAAGUUAUUCAAAUCAUGACGCUGCACCCCACGGUUUAGGUUCUAGGGGGCGCCAAAGAUAACCCUAAAAUCCACAUAUUUCAAAGUCUUAUAACUUUUUAUUUUUGCCCUCACUGGCCUCCAAGUUUUCUAGGAUGAUGCAAUGUCCAGCCAUCAACACAUUUGUGAAGGAAUUUUUACUCCCCAAAAGAGCGCCCCCCCCAUGGCAGGAGAAAAAAGUCCAUUUUUUCUUGUCCCAUAAGGUGAAAAUUCACACUAUUGACUGUCACGCCUGUAUGCUUUGUCAAAAUUACACAAAAAUUGACACACACAUGUAUCUCAAUAAGAUCUACAAAAAAGUCAGUGCUGGCGUAUCUGUCAAAUGUACGGUUAAAGGGUUAUUGCGCAUUUUUUGCAGAUCCGCACACAUUGGAAUUUCGCUAACUCCUCCGAAGGCUUUCGUUCCACCGGCACCACAUUUGCUCAGGCCAAUCUACACCCCAGGGCCAUUAAAAGUUAUUCAAAUCAUGACGCUGCACCCCACGGUUUAGGUUCUAGGGGGCGCCAAAGAUAACCCUAAAAUCCACAUAUUUAAAAGUCUUAUAACUUUUUAUUUUUGUCCUCUCUGGCCUCCAAGUUUUCUAGGAUGAUGCAAUGUCCAGCCAUCAACACAUUUGUGAAGGAAUUUUUACUCCCCAAAAGAGCGCCCCCCCAUGGCAGGAGAAAAAAGUCCAUUUUUUCUUGUCCCAUAAGGUGAAAAUACACAUUGUUGACUGUCAUA
Molecule: long non-coding RNA, 842 nt
Filed under: Xyrichtys novacula (pearly razorfish)
Lineage: Eukaryota; Metazoa; Chordata; Actinopteri; Labriformes; Labridae
Source: RNAcentral